This 253-nucleotide ribosomal RNA is filed under the name uncultured bacterium. Its description in RNAcentral is "partial 16S ribosomal RNA". It matches the Rfam family "Bacterial small subunit ribosomal RNA", at positions 524 to 776 of the family's 1533-position model. The record is from RNAcentral.
UACGUAGGUGGCAAGCGUUGUCCGGAAUUAUUGGGCGUAAAGGGCGCGUAGGCGGCUUUGCAAGUGACGGGUGAAAGCCCUCGGCUUAACCGAGGAACUCCCUGUCAGACUGUGAGGCUUGAGACCGGGAGAGGUGAGUGGAAUUCCCAGUGUAGCGGUGAAAUGCGUAGAUAUUGGGAGGAACACCAGUGGCGAAGGCGGCUCACUGGACCGGUUCUGACGCUGAGGCGCGAAAGCGUGGGGAGCAAACGGG